GGCGCCCCCUCCUGAGAGCAGGAGGAAAAUAACGGGGAGCGCGGUCGCCUGGCAACGCCUGGCCAUUCGGCCUGCCCAGACAGGCCGACCCUUUCCCACGCGCUCUUCGCCAGCCCCUUGGCUGCACGCGGGAUAGAGCCGUGGGCUCGGUCCGGGUCCGGGUUGCCUCCAGCUCCGGGAAAAUCGCCCCGGAUCCCUAAAGUCAGCGUCCCGAGAAGACCUAGGAAAUUCUGCCAGCUCAGCAGCCAGCUCCAGUUGCAAAACCCACACUGUGGACAGGCGGGAGCAAAGCGCACGCGGGGCGGAGACAAGGUCUCACAUGGGAAAAAAAAUCUCAAAGUGAUCGGCCCAGUUACUGUGCCACCAUGGAAAACACCCUGUGGUGAAGCUCGUAGGACGUGGGAUUGUGUCCAGGUGAGAAUCUACA
RNAcentral lists this long non-coding RNA (427 nucleotides) under Cavia porcellus (domestic guinea pig). RNAcentral describes it as "lncRNA (ENSCPOG00000034233.1)". Lineage: Eukaryota; Metazoa; Chordata; Mammalia; Rodentia; Caviidae. The record is from RNAcentral.